CAGCAGUCGCGAAAACUUCACACUGGGGGAAACCCCGAUGAGGGAAAUCCUAGUGCUAGGACAUUUGUUCUAGCUUUUCUCAAGCGUAGAUAACUUGAGGAAUAAGGGCUGGGUAAGACGGGUGCCAGCCGCCGCGGUAAUACCUGCAGCCCAAGUGGUGGUCGAUUUUAUUGAGUCUAAAACGUUCGUAGCCGGUUUGAUAAAUCUUUGGGUAAAUCGGGGAGCUUAACUUUCCGACUUCCGAAGAGACUGUCAAACUUGGGACCGGGAGAGGCGAGAGGUACUUCUGGGGUAGGGGUAAAAUCCUGUAAUCCUGGAAGGACCACCGGUGGCGAAGGCGUCUCGCUAGAACGGAUCCGACGGUGAGGGACGAAGCCCUGGGUCGCAAACGGGAUUAGAUACCCCGGUAGUCCAGGGUGUAAACGCUGCAGACUUGGUGUUGGGGGCCCUACGUGGGCGUUCAGUGCCGGAGAGAAGUUGUU
RNAcentral lists this ribosomal RNA (482 nucleotides) under uncultured Methanomassiliicoccales archaeon. Its description in RNAcentral is "bacterial SSU rRNA". It matches the Rfam family "Archaeal small subunit ribosomal RNA", at positions 333 to 816 of the family's 1478-position model. The record is from RNAcentral. Lineage: Archaea; Methanobacteriati; Thermoplasmatota; Thermoplasmata; Methanomassiliicoccales.